Molecule: long non-coding RNA, 1121 nt
Organism: Chelonia mydas (Green sea turtle)
Lineage: Eukaryota; Metazoa; Chordata; Testudines; Cheloniidae
Exons: 3
Source: RefSeq, a predicted model, not a curated record
AAGAUGAUGAUAUCCACUGAAGUCUGCCAUAAAGUUGCUAAUGUGUCUGUCUGGCUCAUGCAAUGUCACUUUUCAUCUCUAAUUCCUGUGAGGCUGAUUCAAUACAGGAAAAAUAAAGAGAGAGACAGACAGACAGACACACACACACACGUAUGAGAGUUCUGCAUGAACUGCAGUAGCAUUACAGUAAAGAAACCUAAGGAGGGUAGAAGCAUCAUCUGUCAUGUAUAGCCACUCUGAAACUAUGUGAUAUUAAAGCACCCAGAGGGAAAAAAAAAUCUUGAAAGCUGAUAAUCCCUGUGCAUGGAUGGUUGCAGAGAGGCCAUCUUAAUCCCAAAAUAUUGAUGAUGCUGUUUCUGGUGCUGGCUCGUCAUCUGCUCUUCUUCAUGCUAGAUGUGAUCAAAUAUGAACUUUAAAGCCCUUCUUGCAGAUGAAACUUAUUUUGGUUUGAAGAUAUUUUAUUUUCAGGCAAAUGUUUAAUUCCUUUUUCUUGCGCAAACAUGUUUUCAGUGGCAUCGUAACUAACAUAUAGUAGCAAACACCCAUGGCUGGCCAAGACCUCCAUAUUCUUUCUUGGAAGAUUCUGAUGGACCCAUGAUUUUAAGAAGACUUACACAGCCUUUAAUUGUUGGACUUUUUUGAUUCAUGGUUCUUCAGUGCAGCAGUAACCCCUCCUGCUACUUUGACAGUUUCCUUGCCUUGUGCUCUACUGACAGACAAGACCAGCAAGAUUUUAAUUUUGGCUGUUACACAGGAAGGGGAAGAAGCCUGGCUGAAAACGGUCUAAAGGGAUUAAAGAGGCCGGUGCAAGGCUUGAUGAUGAUAAAUCCUUAGCCAUGUUUCUCCUUUCUUUAAAAAGUUAAAUAAGGAUGGUGAAGUUUAUAUUGUAGAGGAAAGCCUGUGCUAAGCCUAGCCUGAUAGCAACCCAUACUUGUUUCUCUUUGUAUGGUGAAAGUCCUGCUGAAUGCAGCUGCUGAACCAAACUGGGACAGAAUAGAAAAACAUUUAUCUCAAUUUAAGGGAAAACAAACUUACCUUCUAAGAACAAUGGCACAAUUUCUCUUGGAAAAUAUAUUUUUAUUUUUGCAGUUUUCAGUACCAAUAAAACAGAUUAUUUAAAA